CGACCGGCGCACGGGUGAGUAACACGUAUGCAACCUGGCCGUGACAGAUGGAUAACCGGGAGAAAUCCCGCCUAAUACAGCAUGACGCCGGGAAGGGACAUCCCUUUCCGGCCAAAGGGGGCGACUCCGGUCACGGAUGGGCAUGCGGCGCAUUAGGUAGUUGGUGGGGCAACGGCCCACCAAGCCGACGAUGCGUAGGGGUUCUGAGAGGAAGAUCCCCCACAUUGGAACUGAGACACGGUCCAAACUCCUACGGAAGGCAGCAG
Molecule: ribosomal RNA, 266 nt
Filed under: uncultured bacterium
Lineage: Bacteria
Description: partial 16S ribosomal RNA
Rfam family: Bacterial small subunit ribosomal RNA
Source: RNAcentral